RNAcentral lists this ribosomal RNA (523 nucleotides) under Duganella radicis. Its description in RNAcentral is "partial 23S ribosomal RNA". It matches the Rfam family "Bacterial large subunit ribosomal RNA", at positions 685 to 1209 of the family's 2925-position model. The record is from RNAcentral. Lineage: Bacteria; Pseudomonadati; Pseudomonadota; Betaproteobacteria; Burkholderiales; Oxalobacteraceae.
GAACAGGGCGAUAGUCGCUGGGUGUAGACCCGAAACCAAGUGAUCUACUCAUGGCCAGGAUGAAGGUGCGGUAACACGCACUGGAGGUCCGAACCCACUAAUGUUGAAAAAUUAGGGGAUGAGCUGUGGGUAGGGGUGAAAGGCUAAACAAACUUGGAAAUAGCUGGUUCUCUCCGAAAACUAUUUAGGUAGUGCCUCAAGUAUCACCACCGGGGGUAGAGCACUGUUAUGGCUAGGGGGUCAUCGCGACUUACCAAACCAUUGCAAACUCCGAAUACCGGUGAGUGCGAGCUUGGGAGACAGACGUCGGGUGCUAACGUCCGGCGUCAAGAGGGAAACAACCCAGACCGCCAGCUAAGGUCCCAAAGAUUGGCUAAGUGGAAAACGAAGUGGGAAGGCUAAAACAGUCAGGAUGUUGGCUUAGAAGCAGCCAUCAUUUAAAGAAAGCGUAAUAGCUCACUGAUCGAGUCGUCCUGCGCGGAAGAUGUAACGGGGCUAAGCCAGUCACCGAAGCUGCGGAUAU